CUACUAUCCAGAACAGUAGACGAUUGGCCAAGAAGGGAACAGAAACUCCUACAUAAACUCACCUUGGCAGCCAGGCUCACCAUGGCACAAGCAUGGCUCAAACCUGACAUCCCACACGUUCAUACACAAAAUAAAAGACACCAAUGUAAUGGACCAUCUCACGGCACUGGUGAGAGGUACAGUGAAAUCAUAUGAAAAGGUCUGGGAGUUGUUGAAGGCUGGGGACUGGGG
Molecule: non-coding RNA, 231 nt
Organism: Pelobates cultripes (western spadefoot toad)
Lineage: Eukaryota; Metazoa; Chordata; Amphibia; Anura; Pelobatidae
Source: the annotation of a GenBank genome assembly